This 253-nucleotide ribosomal RNA is filed under the name uncultured bacterium. RNAcentral describes it as "partial 16S ribosomal RNA". It matches the Rfam family "Bacterial small subunit ribosomal RNA", at positions 524 to 776 of the family's 1533-position model. The record is from RNAcentral.
UACGAAGGGGGCUAGCGUUGUUCGGAAUUACUGGGCGUAAAGCGCGUGUAGGCGGGUCUUUAAGUCAGGGGUGAAAUACCAAAGCUCAACUUUGGUGCUGCAUUUGAAACUGCAUUUCUUGAGGACUGACGGAGAAAGCGGAAUUCCAUGAGUAGCGGUGAAAUGCGUAGAUACAUGGAGGAACACCGGUGGCGAAAGCGGCUUUCUAGUUUUUACCUGACGCUGAGGCGCGAGAGCAAGGGGAGCAAACAGG